RNAcentral lists this long non-coding RNA (688 nucleotides) under Mytilus galloprovincialis (Mediterranean mussel). Lineage: Eukaryota; Metazoa; Mollusca; Bivalvia; Mytilida; Mytilidae. The record is from RNAcentral.
CUUAAUAUUUUAUGAUGUAUUUAAAUGAGUAGUUAUUGUUGCAAACUCCAUUAGAAAUUUUAAUUGAGAUUAGUUUUGGAAUAAGGGAAAGGGGGAUGUGAUUAAAAAAAAUUGGGUUCAAUUUUUCUCAUUUGAAAUUUCAUAAAUAAAAAAGAAAAUUUCUUCAAACAUUUUUUUGAGAGGAUUAAUAUUCAACAGCAUAGUGAAUUGCUCUAAGAGAAACAAAAAUUUUAAGUUCAUUAGAACACAUUCAUUCUGUGUCAGAAACCUAUGCUGUGUCAACUAUUUAAUCACAAUCCAAAUUUAGAGCUGAAUCCAGCUUGAAUGUUGUGUCCAUACUUGCCCUAACCGUUCAGGGUUCAACCUCAGCGGUCGUAUAAAGCUACGCCCUGCGGAGCAUCUGGUUUAUUAUGGGCCCAGUUUUCAAGUUGGUCCAAAUCAGGAUUCCAUAUCAAGUAUUGUGCAAUAGCAAGAAAUUUUUAAUUGCACAGUAUUGCACAAUAGCAAGAAAUAUCUAAUUGCACAAUAUUGUGCAAUAGCAAUUAAUUUUCAAUUGGAGUUAUCUUUCUUUGUAUAGAAUAGUAGUUGAUAAUAUAUGUUGGAAAUUUGCCAGACAUGACUAUGAUGUCAUUUUCUAUUUUUAUUUGCCAAUAACUUUAUGUAAAUAACUUCUUUGGAAAUUUGCCAA